UAAUUGAAGAGUUUGAUCAUGGCUCAGAUUGAACGCUGGCGGCAGGCCUAACACAUGCAAGUCGAGCGGCAGCGGGAAGUAGCUUGCUACUUUGCCGGCGAGCGGCGGACGGGUGAGUAAUGUCUGGGAAACUGCCUGAUGGAGGGGGAUAACUACUGGAAACGGUAGCUAAUACCGCAUAACGUCUUCGGACCAAAGAGGGGGACCUUCGGGCCUCUUGCCAUC
This 225-nucleotide ribosomal RNA is filed under the name Buttiauxella noackiae. Its description in RNAcentral is "partial 16S ribosomal RNA". It matches the Rfam family "Bacterial small subunit ribosomal RNA", at positions 1 to 222 of the family's 1533-position model. RNAcentral also lists the same sequence under 1 other name. The record is from RNAcentral. Lineage: Bacteria; Pseudomonadati; Pseudomonadota; Gammaproteobacteria; Enterobacterales; Enterobacteriaceae.